GGCUUAUGCAACUAAAUGCACAACCAAAUUUGUAAAUUGUGUACUUUACUAUUAUAACACAAAAGUAAUUUGAGGGUGACGGUGGUGUGAGGGGCGAUAAAGCCUGCAGACCGCCAGUUGUCCAACCCUGGUUGUCAUAAACAUCCACUGAUGCUUCCUUCCCUGUUCUGCCUCGCCUCAGGUCCCUGUCCAGCUCCAUUGACCCUGGUAUCACCCUCAGCCCAUACAUAGCACUGAACACAGAGGAGAGACGCAGGAGGUUCAGAUGGAUGUGUAAUACAGAUGCUGGGAAGCUGCCAAUGAACACCAGGACGGAGAAAACUGUUAAGAGAAAGCUUAAAUUUCUACCGUUUUCCAGCAGGAUAAAUGAAUCUACUGAAAGCAAAGCACAGC
Molecule: long non-coding RNA, 393 nt
Organism: Esox lucius (northern pike)
Lineage: Eukaryota; Metazoa; Chordata; Actinopteri; Esociformes; Esocidae
Source: Ensembl